Molecule: transfer RNA, 72 nt
Filed under: Camelus bactrianus (Bactrian camel)
Lineage: Eukaryota; Metazoa; Chordata; Mammalia; Artiodactyla; Camelidae
Also listed under: 2 other names
Rfam family: tRNA
About the family: Transfer RNA (tRNA) molecules are approximately 80 nucleotides in length.
Source: Rfam by way of RNAcentral
AAGGGUAUAGCUCAGUGGUAGAGCGUGUGCUUAGCAUGCACCAGGUCCUGGGUUCAGUCUCCAGUACCUCCA